This 914-nucleotide ribosomal RNA is filed under the name uncultured marine archaeon. RNAcentral describes it as "bacterial SSU rRNA". It matches the Rfam family "Archaeal small subunit ribosomal RNA", at positions 1 to 921 of the family's 1478-position model. The record is from RNAcentral.
UUCCGGCUGAUCCUGCCGGAGGCUACCGCUAUUGGAGUUCGAUUAAGCCAUGCGAGUCGCGAGUCUUAGGGACUCGGCGUACCGCUCAGUAACACGUGGGUAACCUGCCCUAUGCUGGGGGAUAACCUCGGGAAACUGAGAAUAAUACCCCAUAGUUCACCACGCCUGGAACGGUGGGUGGAUGAAAGCUCCGGCGGCAUAGGAUGGGCCUGCGGCGUAUCAGGUUGUAGGGGGUGUAAUGUACCCUCUAGCCCUCUACGCGUACGGGUGUUGAGAGACAUCGCCCGGAGAUGGAUUCUGAGACACGAAUCCAGACCCUACGGGGUGCAGCAGGCGCGAAAACUUGGCAAUGCGAGAAAUCGUGACCAGGGAACUCCAAGUGCAUCGGGUAAGACCGAUGCUUUUCUUGACUCUUCAAAGGUCUUGGAAUAAGGGGUGGGUAAGGACGGUGCCAGCCGCCGCGGUAAUACCGGCGCCUCAAGUGGUAGUCGCUUUUAUUGGGCCUAAAACGUCCGUAGCCGGUUUGGUACAUUCGUGGGUAAAUCAAGGCGCUCAACGGGUUGAAUUCUGCGAGCACGGCCAGACUUGGGACCGGGAGAGGUGUGGGGUACUCUCAGGGUAGGGGUAAAAUCCUGUCAUCCUGAGAGGACCACCUGUUGCGAAGGCGCCACACUAGAACGGAUCCGACGGUCAGGGACGAAGCCUAGGGGCACGAACCGGAUUAGAUACCCGGGUAGUCCUAGGUGUAAACGCUGUGGACUUGAUGUUGGGGGUGCUCCGAGCGCCCUCAGUGUCGAAGCGAAGGUGAUAAGUCCACUGCCUGGGGAGUACGGUCGCAAGGCUGAAACUUAAAGGAAUUGGCGGGGGAGCACCGCAACCUGAGGAUUGUGCGGUUUAAUUGGAUUCAACGCCGG